Molecule: long non-coding RNA, 210 nt
Filed under: Nicotiana benthamiana
Lineage: Eukaryota; Viridiplantae; Streptophyta; Magnoliopsida; Solanales; Solanaceae
Description: long non-coding RNA (NBEN_LNC011554)
Source: RNAcentral
CUACCUGAAUUAGAAAAGGCCGUAAGUUGCUAGGGAACUACUAGUCAGGCAAGGUUUGGCUCUUUAGAAAAGGCCGUAAUUAUGUCUAUGGAGCAACUGAGAUAAUUCAGAAUUGACAUUAAAGUGGUAAGGAGCUUUGAUUUUGAAAGAGAAGAAGAAAAAUUCUAGCAAUCACGUCGGUCAAUGAAGAUAAAAGUUUCAGACUUGAUA